CCUACGGGUGGCAGCAGUGAGGAAUAUUGGUCAAUGGGCGAGAGCCUGAACCAGCCAAGUCGCGUGAGGGAGUACUGCCCUAUGGGUUGUAAACCUCUUUUGUCGGGGAGCAAAAGCCGGACGUUUCCGGCUGUGAGAGUACCCGAAGAAAAAGCAUCGGCUAACGCCGUGCCAGCAGCCGCGGUAAUACGGAGGAUUCGAGCGUUAGCCGGAUUUACUGGUGUUAAAGGGUGCGCAGGCGGAUGUUUAAGUCAGUGGUAAAAUCGUGGGGUUCAACCCCAUCCAGCAGUUGAAACUGGGGAUCUAGAGUGUGCGAGAGGUAUGCGGAAUGCGUGGUGUAGCGGUGAAAUGCAUAGAUAUCACGCAGAACCCCGAUUGCGAAGGCAGCAUACCGGUGCACAACUGACGCUCAGGCACGAAAGCGUGGGUAUCGAACAGGAUUAGAUACCCGAGUAGUC
Molecule: ribosomal RNA, 458 nt
Filed under: uncultured bacterium
Lineage: Bacteria
Description: partial 16S ribosomal RNA
Rfam family: Bacterial small subunit ribosomal RNA
Source: RNAcentral